This is a long non-coding RNA of Magnolia sinica, 769 nucleotides long. RefSeq lists it as uncharacterized. The transcript has 4 exons. The record is from RefSeq and is a predicted model, not a curated record. NCBI's taxonomy places the organism in Eukaryota, Viridiplantae, Streptophyta, Magnoliopsida, Magnoliales, Magnoliaceae.
UAAAAUAGAGCCCGCGCCUAAAAAGCCCUUUCAUCUCUUCCCCCCUCUCUCUAUAGCACCAAUCUCUCUCCUUUUCCUCUCCAAUCUCUUUGUACCCAGUUAGUACGGAAUCCUCUUGAAUCCCUCAACAAGAAUCCCCUUUUCCUCUCCAAAACUAAAAUUCACAAAACCCUAAUCUUUCAUUUAUGAAAAAUCUAGAUCCCUUCAAUCUCAAAUCCUCGUUCUCCCUCUAUCUCCCCUAGACUCCUUGAUUUUACAUUCUUUGAAUAUUUAAGGGACAACCUACAUCAAGUUGACGAGAGACUAGCAGUGGUAAUCGAAAAACAAAAGCAAUCUUCAGAUAUGGAGAUGAGUAGACUUGAUGCAAGGAUCAUGCAGAAACUUGAUGUCAUGCAGCAAUUGGAACGUGAGCUUGAGGCCAAGUCUACCUUUGAUUAUUGAGAAGUUACGUUACUCCUCAUGAAGAAGUUCUUGUGGGCACGUUUGGAGGAUUUAGCAGGCAAAGAUGCCAAAGAGAAAUCUAAUGUUGCUAUAAAAGACCUUUUUGUGGAGCUUGCACUUGAGGCCAAAAGCAAUGUCAACAAAGGAGGUGAUGAUUCAGAACAGAUAUAGGCAAUGUCAAAGAAAAAGAAGAAGAAGGAUUACAGAAGAGCUAAGAAUCCAAAGGGCGUUGGUCAUGACAAAGAUACUCUCACGCAUCAGGAAACUGAAGAACAAGUGGACGCCUUUCUCUCUCUGUAUACAGAAUGAUCUUUUAGUUGUCAUUAUA